GCCUGCGGAACAGCUGCAUUCCUACUAGUACAACCUGCUUGCAUACGAUCUUAAUGGUCCCUAAGCAGGUGGGAAAUUCGGUGGAACACAGCGAGACAACAAUCGCCAGGGGCUUCGGCCCUGAUUCUCGUGAGAGAAGCCGCUGGAAAGCGGUUGUGGGCGCUGUCAUCAGAAAUACACAUGUUGGCCGGCGCUAUCGCCGCACCAAUGUGAUGGGAAAGGCAGCGGAUGUCUCGUUUGACUUUGCCUUAGGGUAAAGGUCUGUUGAGUGCAAUGGUAGGAGGCCGCUUUAUGGUGGCCAACCCGAUACCGAUUAUUGUUGGUGUUCCGUUU
Molecule: RNase P RNA, 333 nt
Filed under: Lachancea thermotolerans CBS 6340
Lineage: Eukaryota; Fungi; Ascomycota; Saccharomycetes; Saccharomycetales; Saccharomycetaceae
Rfam family: Nuclear RNase P
About the family: Ribonuclease P (RNase P) is a ubiquitous endoribonuclease, found in archaea, bacteria and eukarya as well as chloroplasts and mitochondria. Its best characterised activity is the generation of mature 5'-ends of tRNAs by cleaving the 5'-leader elements of precursor-tRNAs. Cellular RNase Ps are ribonucleoproteins.
Source: RNAcentral